AUGAACGCUGGCGGCGUGCCUAAUACAUGCAAGUCGAGCGCACAGACGAGGAGCUUGCUCCUCUGACGUUAGCGGCGGACGGGUGAGUAACACGUGGAUAACCUACCUAUAAGACUGGGAUAACUUCGGGAAACCGGAGCUAAUACCGGAUAAUAUAUUGAACCGCAUGGUUCAAUAGUGAAAGACGGUUUUGCUGUCACUUAUAGAUGGAUCCGCGCCGCAUUAGCUAGUUGGUAAGGUAACGGCUUACCAAGGCAACGAUGCGUAGCCGACCUGAGAGGGUGAUCGGCCACACUGGAACUGAGACACGGUCCAGACUCCUACGGGAGGCAGCAGUAGGGAAUCUUCCGCAAUGGGCGAAAGCCUGACGGAGCAACGCCGCGUGAGUGAUGAAGGUCUUCGAAUCGUAAAACUCUGUUAUUAGGGAAGAACAAAUGUGUAAGUAACUAUGCACGUCUUGACGGUACCUAAUCAGAAAGCCACGGCUAACUACGUG
RNAcentral lists this ribosomal RNA (496 nucleotides) under uncultured bacterium. RNAcentral describes it as "partial 16S ribosomal RNA". It matches the Rfam family "Bacterial small subunit ribosomal RNA", at positions 29 to 507 of the family's 1533-position model. The record is from RNAcentral.